GAUGAACGCUGACCGAAUGCUUAACACAUGCAAGUCUUUGGCGAAGCUGUGCUUGCACCGCCUAGCCAAGGCGGACGGGUGAGUAACGCGUAAGGAACUUGCCCUGCAGUCAGGGAUAACAGACGGAAACGACUGAUAAGACCUGGUAAAGUCAGGCGGACUCAUGUCCAGCCUGAUGAAAAGAGAUGCUGCAGGAGAGCCUUGCGUCCUAUUAGCUUGUUGGUGGGGUAACGGCCCACCAAGGCGAUGAUAGGUAGCCGGCCUGAGAGGGUGGACGGCCACAAGGGGACUGAGAUACGGCCCUUACUCCUACGGGAGGCAGCAGUGGGGAAUAGUGGACAAUGGGGGCAACCCUGAUCCAGCAAUUCUGUGUGCACGAUGAAGGUUUUCGGAUUGUAAAGUGCUUUCAGCAGGGAAGAAAAAAAUGACGGUACCUGCAGAAGAAGCGACGGCUAAAUACGUG
RNAcentral lists this ribosomal RNA (463 nucleotides) under uncultured bacterium. RNAcentral describes it as "partial 16S ribosomal RNA". It matches the Rfam family "Bacterial small subunit ribosomal RNA", at positions 28 to 507 of the family's 1533-position model. The record is from RNAcentral.